RNAcentral lists this ribosomal RNA (869 nucleotides) under uncultured bacterium. Its description in RNAcentral is "bacterial SSU rRNA". It matches the Rfam family "Bacterial small subunit ribosomal RNA", at positions 28 to 899 of the family's 1533-position model. The record is from RNAcentral.
AUUGAACGCUGGCGGCAUGCUUUACACAUGCAAGUCGAACGGUAACAGGUCUUCGGAUGCUGACGAGUGGCGAACGGGUGAGUAAUGCAUCGGAAUGUGCCCAGUCGUGGGGGAUAACGCAGCGAAAGCUGCGCUAAUACCGCAUACGAUCUAUGGAUGAAAGCGGGGGACCGUAAGGCCUCGCGCGAUUGGAGCGGCCGAUGUCAGAUUAGGUAGUUGGUGGGGUAAAGGCUCACCAAGCCAACGAUCUGUAGCUGGUCUGAGAGGACGACCAGCCACACUGGAACUGAGACACGGUCCAGACUCCUACGGGAGGCAGCAGUGGGGAAUUUUGGACAAUGGGCGCAAGCCUGAUCCAGCAAUGCCGCGUGCAGGAAGAAGGCCUUCGGGUUGUAAACUGCUUUUGUACGGAACGAAACGGUCUGGGAUAAUACCCUGGGCUAAUGACGGUACCGUAAGAAUAAGCACCGGCUAACUACGUGCCAGCAGCCGCGGUAAUACGUAGGGUGCAAGCGUUAAUCGGAAUUACUGGGCGUAAAGCGUGCGCAGGCGGUUUUGUAAGACAGGCGUGAAAUCCCCGGGCUCAACCUGGGAAUGGCGUUUGUGACUGCAAAGCUGGAGUGCGGCAGAGGGGGAUGGAAUUCCGCGUGUAGCAGUGAAAUGCGUAGAUAUGCGGAGGAACACCGAUGGCGAAGGCAAUCCCCUGGGCCUGCACUGACGCUCAUGCACGAAAGCGUGGGGAGCAAACAGGAUUAGAUACCCUGGUAGUCCACGCCCUAACGAUGUCACUCGGUGUUGGGUCUCUUCUGACUCAGUAACGAAGCUAACGCGUGAAGUUGACCGCCUGGGAGUACGGCCGCAGGGUGAAC